GCCGGAAUGGCGGAACUGGUAGACGCGCACGGUUCAGGGCCGUGUAAGAUUUAUCUUGUGGGGGUUCGAUUCCCCCUUCCGGCACCA
This 87-nucleotide transfer RNA is filed under the name bacterium. Its description in RNAcentral is "tRNA-Leu". It matches the Rfam family "tRNA". Rfam says of the family: Transfer RNA (tRNA) molecules are approximately 80 nucleotides in length. Their secondary structure includes four short double-helical elements and three loops (D, anti-codon, and T loops). The record is from RNAcentral. RNAcentral also lists the same sequence under 3 other names.